GAUGAACGCUAGCGGGAGGCUUAACACAUGCAAGUCGAGGGGCAGCAUAGGGUAGCAAUACUCUGAUGGCGACGGCAAACGGGUGAGUAACGCGUAUGCAACCUACCUGUACAGGGGGAUAACCCGGAGAAAUUCGGAACUAAUAUCCCGUAAUAAUAUCCGGAGGCAUCUUUGGAUAUUAAAGUUCCGACGGUACGGGAUGGGCAUGCGUAACAUUAACUGGUUGGUAAGGUAACGGCUUACCAAGGCUAUGAUGUUUAGGGGUCCUGAGAGGGUGGUCCCCCACACUGGUACUGAGACACGGACCAGACUCCUACGGGAGGCAGCAGUGAGGAAUAUUGGUCAAUGGGCGCAAGCCUGAACCAGCCAUCCCGCGUGCAGGAAGACGGCCCUAUGGGUUGUAAACUGCUUUUCCAGGGAGAGAAACUUACGCACGUGUUGCGUGACUGACGGUACCCUGGGAAUAAGCAUCGGCUAACUCCGUGCCAGCAGCCGCGUAAUCAUACUCGUA
RNAcentral lists this ribosomal RNA (511 nucleotides) under uncultured bacterium. RNAcentral's name for it is "bacterial SSU rRNA". It matches the Rfam family "Bacterial small subunit ribosomal RNA", at positions 28 to 529 of the family's 1533-position model. The record is from RNAcentral.